Molecule: ribosomal RNA, 495 nt
Filed under: uncultured bacterium
Lineage: Bacteria
Description: bacterial SSU rRNA
Rfam family: Bacterial small subunit ribosomal RNA
Source: RNAcentral
AUGAACGCUAGCGACAGGCCUAACACAUGCAAGUCGAGGGCAGCACAAGGAGCAAUCUGAGGUGGCGACCGGCGCACGGGUGAGUAACACGUAUGCAACCUGCCUGUAAGCGGGGAAUAACCCGUUGAAAGACGGACUAAUACCGCAUAAUACUAAAUUACUGCAUGGUAAUUUAUUUAAACAUUUAUGGCUUACAGAUGGGCAUGCGCAUGAUUAGCUAGUUGGAGAGGUAACGGCUCCCCAAGGCAACGAUCAUUAGGGGUUCUGAGAGGAAGGUCCCCCACACUGGUACUGAGACACGGACCAGACUCCUACGGGAGGCAGCAGUGAGGAAUAUUGGUCAAUGGACGAGAGUCUGAACCAGCCAAGUCGCGUGCAGGAAGAAUGUUCCCUAUGGAUUGUAAACUGCUUUUGCAGGGGAAUAAAGUGCAUCACGUGUGAUGUUUUGUAUGUACUCUGCGAAUAAGGAUCGGCUAACUCCGUGCCAGCAGCGGC